RNAcentral lists this ribosomal RNA (429 nucleotides) under bacterium. RNAcentral's name for it is "partial 16S ribosomal RNA". It matches the Rfam family "Bacterial small subunit ribosomal RNA", at positions 355 to 776 of the family's 1533-position model. The record is from RNAcentral.
UAGGGAAUCUUCCACAAUGGACGCAAGUCUGAUGGAGCAACGCCGCGUGAGUGAAGAAGGUUUUCGGAUCGUAAAGCUCUGUUGUUGGUGAAGAAGGAUAGAGGCAGUAACUGGUCUUUAUUUGACGGUAAUCAACCAGAAAGUCACGGCUAACUACGUGCCAGCAGCCGCGGUAAUACGUAGGUGGCAAGCGUUGUCCGGAUUUAUUGGGCGUAAAGCGAGCGCAGGCGGAAUGCUAAGUCUGAUGUGAAAGCCCACGGCUCAACCGUGGAACUGCAUCGGAAACUGUCAUUCUUGAGUGCAGAAGAGGAGAGUGGAAUUCCAUGUGUAGCGGUGGAAUGCGUAGAUAUAUGGAAGAACACCAGUGGCGAAGGCGGCUCUCUGGUCUGCAACUGACGCUGAGGCUCGAAAGCAUGGGUAGCGAACAGG